UCCAUAACUCCCCAAAUGUACUGUCUUCUAGAAAAUGGAAACAUAAAAGCACUCAGGCCAUCUUUGAAUCAUGUAAGAAAGUAGUAGGGGAAAAUGGCUUUUUUAAUGCCAAUUUUAUUAUCUUAGCUUUAUUCUCAAUAGGUAGAAGUGGGGAUUAGGGAGUAAAUUUGGUUUCUAGAAACAGAUGUUCCUCUCACUUGGGCACUAAAGUUUGACAACUGCUUUCUAAUGUACCAAAGAUGAUCUCUAAUUUCUUUAUAAAGACAACACUUAUCAAUAAUUUGUGCCAGAAAUCGUGCCAGGUACCAGUGAUACAGAUAAAUGUGACAUGUGACCCAGUUCCUAUCCUCAGAGAACUUUGCUUAUUCACUUCCUCCUAAGUGAAUCCGAUGGUCCCUGUGGCUUCUUAAGAGGUGGCCGUGGCUACUAUAAAAGCAAAUGCCUCUCACCAGAUGCCAUUUCUGGGACUGGGAUGGUAAUGCAUCUCUACCCAAAGCCCAAGACCAAGAUUACAGGAUUUCCCAGCAAUCUGAGGAUGAUUACGAGCAGGCAGGUGAGGACAUCACACAGCAGUCUCUGACUGAGUCCAUAGGAGACGUGCAGCCUGCAUCGUAAUUUAGAUACCAAACACAGAUAUUGCGAACAGUGAAAGAAAGAAACACUUAGGAGGGAUUAUAAAGGGAUUAUAAAGGAAAGCAUUCGAGUUUAAGGGUUGUGAAAAGGCCUGGGGAGUGAUGGAUCACAUUGUCCUCUCAAGAUGUCAGGGCACCCCAACCUGACCAGUAUAGCAUAUCUUCCCUCUAAAGCCCAGAGAGUGGAGUGGGGUCACCCAAGUCUGUGAGCGCUUUGUGCAUGAUGCUAAGUUUUCUGUCAUCCUCAGAUAAUCCUUGUCAGAGAAACCUGUGGCAUAAGGAGACAUGGAAAAGAACACUGGGGAGUUCCCACAGUGGCUCAGCAGUAACAAACCCAACUAGUAUCCAUGAAGAUGAGAGUUGGAUCCCUGGCCUCGCUUAGUGGGUUAAGGAUCCAGCAUUGCUGUGAGCUGUCGCGUAGGUCGCAGAUGUGGCUCAGAUCCCUAGUUACUGUGGCUCUGGUGUAGGCUGGCAGCUGUAGGUCCGAUUUGACCCCUAGCCUGGGAACUUCCGUAUGCCUUGGGUUCAGCCCUAAAAAGCAAAAAAAUGAAAAGAAAAGAACACUGGUAGCACACUAUCUAUCCUGAGCACUUGGAUGAGUUACUUAACCUCCUCGGUCCUCAGUUUCCUAUCUUAUAAAAUGGGGAUAAUAUCACUGUUUGUAUUAAAUUACGUAAAGAGUGUUGAGCACCUAGAUGUUGUAUGUAGAGUACAUUGCCUGGAUCAAGACGUGUUGGCUUCCUGGAAAAAAAUUUUAAAAGAUUCCCAUAGCACAUGCCUGAGAGUAUCUUUGUAAAGAUAAUGGUUAUGCUAUUAGCAACCAGGAUAGUCUGGCCAAUCAUGAAUAAAUUCAUUUUUAUCAAGCCUCAACAGUAAUUCUUGGCAGAGAAGCGAAGCACAGGGUGAUAGGCGAAGGCCAGCAAAAAGGUCAGGGCAUCAUACUGAAGUCAAUUCCUCCUAGGAGAGGACUCUGUAGAUUCCUUGGAAGAAGAGAAACUAUGCAAAACAAGCAGGCAUUCAAUCUAUUCAUCAAACACAAAUUGAGUGCCUACGCUGUGCUUACACCAAGUGACAUUCUGUUAAAAACUGAAGAAAGGGAAGGAGUCACAGUCCACAGAAGAUGCAAGAGACCCCACAACAGAUGUUGGUCAAACAUAGACACGGAUCACAGCUGGACCACCCAACAUACAGAGGAGUAUCUCCCCUCGCCCUCCUGAGACGCCCACCGGAACAGCUUGCAUAACCUCCCAGGAGAGAAGUGAGAGUUAGAACUUAGGAAAUAGCCACCAUGGGGGAUGAGACGGGAACUGAAUGCCUAACUGCCAGCAGGUUUUAGUGAUGGAGGCAUCCACGUCUCAACAUUCACAGCUCCAAUUCCAGGCCAUAUGGAUGGUACAAGAUGCUGUAGACGGCUGGAGAGUUUGCUCUUAGCUGGACAUAUGUCACCUCACUGUAAUAGCAGUUUAACAGAUACAAUGUUGUUGUCAUGGGCCUAAUCUCAAAAAGUAGUUUGGAAUGUAAUUGAAGUUAAAUAUACAUGUGAUGAAUAAUAUUCUAUCAAGCACUGGGUUCCAUUCUAACCACUGAGCUGCAAUAAAGGAAUUGCCUCAAGUCAUUAAAAGCUAGCAAGGAAAUGUUAAAUAACCCACAUCGUACCAGCUGCCAAUGGAAGAGACUGCCUUUGAAAUGCUGCUGAAAUUGGGGGAAAGGAAUACAUAGGACUUUAUUGUAAGCUCACAGAUCAGUUUGUUCCCUACAGUGUUAACAUUGAGCCAUAACAAUGUGUUCCUGUUAGUUACUAGCUGUGGCUUUACUCCAACCAGGUCUUUGUGCUGGAGAGGACAACUGUAGUUAUCACCAUUAAUUAAAAUCAGCUAUAUAAAAGGAAUUAGAAAGUUAAGUACUCUUUCAGUAAAAGAUAAAAGGGAAACAGGAGCAGUAGAGAGCAGGUUGCCACUUACCCUUAGGAAACUCAUUCUGAACAAGCACUGAAAAGAAAACAAAUGCAAUGAUCAUGCCAGAUACAGGCUUUUAAAGAGAAACUUUGGGGGUGCCUGGUGGCAAGUGUUUGUUUCAAUACUGUUAGCUUUCUUUUAAAAAUGUAUGAGUUUCUAGACUCUGGACUUGCAAUAUUUCCUUUAUUAGGCUUGUCAAUAUAUGAAUUGACUUUCUUUACAGAGGCUCAUAAUGUGCUUCCUCUGAUUUGCCUGCCCAUCAACCAGGUGGGUUGAAGAGUCUAGGCUCCCGGCAAGGUGGUCCUGGCCAUGGGCGCCUUGCCAUGGGAGAUCAUAUGCUUUACAUUUGCACACUCAACCCCUACAUCCUGGCAUGACCAUUGCCCUUAUACCAGCUUACAAAAUGCAAAUAGGAUCCCGCUUGGGAAUUUCACUGCUUCCUCAGUUUAGGUACCAUCUCACCUACCUGGAGUCCCCAUUGGUGAGAACUCAUUUAUUCUGUUCUCUGUCCCAUGGAACAGGAAAUAGCUGGGCUUUUCUACCUCUACCCUAGUAGCUCUACUUUAAUUCAUUCAGGGUGUAACUAGGUUCCAGUUUUCAAACAGGUGGUCCUAUGAAGUGAAGCAAUUCAAACAGCAAUUCAUAUGACAUGGUAGAGUUGGAAAGCAUUCCAAUAUUUAGAUAAACUUCAGUUUUGAAAGCUUGAAGAAGUCUUAUUUCCUCAUUUUGCAUAAGAAAACUGGGAUCCAGGAGUUCCUGCUGUGGUACAGUGGGUUAAGAAUCUGACUGCAGCAGCUCAGGUCGCCGCAGAGGUGAGGGUUUGAUCCCCAGCCUGGCAUGGUGGAUUAAGGAUCUGUUGUUGCCACAGCUGUGUCGUAGGUUGCAGCCGCAGCUCGGAUUCAAUCCCUGGCCCCGGAACUUCCAUGUGCUGUGGGUAUGAAAAUAAAUU
RNAcentral lists this long non-coding RNA (3536 nucleotides) under Sus scrofa (pig). RNAcentral's name for it is "lncRNA (ENSSSCG00000054350.1)". Lineage: Eukaryota; Metazoa; Chordata; Mammalia; Artiodactyla; Suidae. The record is from RNAcentral.